RNAcentral lists this ribosomal RNA (491 nucleotides) under uncultured bacterium. RNAcentral's name for it is "partial 16S ribosomal RNA". It matches the Rfam family "Bacterial small subunit ribosomal RNA", at positions 29 to 507 of the family's 1533-position model. The record is from RNAcentral.
AGUGAACGCUGGCGGUAGGCCUAACACAUGCAAGUCGAACGGCAGCACAGUAAGAGCUUGCUCUUACGGGUGGCGAGUGGCGGACGGUGAGGAAUACAUCGGAAUCUACUUUUUCGUGGGGGAUAACGUAGGGAAACUUACGCUAAUACCGCAUACGACCUACGGGUGAAAGCAGGGGAUCUUCGGACCUUGCGCGAUUGAAUGAGCCGAUGUCGGAUUAGCUAGUUGGCGGGGUAAAGGCCCACCAAGGCGACGAUCCGUAGCUGGUCUGAGAGGAUGAUCAGCCGCACUGGAACUGAGACACGGUCCAGACUCCUACGGGAGGCAGCAGUGGGGAAUAUUGGACAAAGGGCGCAAGCCUGAUCCAGCCAUACCGCGUGGGUGAAGAAGGCCUUCGGGUUGUAAAGCCCUUUUGUUGGGAAAGAAAAGCAGCAGGUUAAUACCCCGCUGUUCUGACGGUACCCAAAGAAUAAGCACCGGCUAACUUCGUG